Non-coding RNA from Lentinula aciculospora, 87 nucleotides. The record is from the annotation of a GenBank genome assembly. NCBI's taxonomy places the organism in Eukaryota, Fungi, Basidiomycota, Agaricomycetes, Agaricales, Omphalotaceae.
GCAUUAAUGGGGUAGUGGUAACCUGGGUCGUUGCCAUUUGAUUUCAAGAUCCUCGACCCGCCGGGGGUUCGAUUCCCUCUUAAUGCA